GAUGAACGCUGGCGGCGUGCCUAAUACAUGCAAGUCGAGCGAACGGACGAGAAGCUUGCUUCUCUGAUGUUAGCGGCGGACGGGUGAGUAACACGUGGAUAACCUACCUAUAAGACUGGGAUAACUUCGGGAAACCGGAGCUAAUACCGGAUAAUAUUUUGAACCGCAUGGUUCAAAAGUGAAAGACGGUCUUGCUGUCACUUAUAGAUGGAUCCGCGCUGCAUUAGCUAGUUGGUAAGGUAACGGCUUACCAAGGCAACGGUGCAUAGCCGACCUGAGAGGGUGAUCGGCCACACUGGAACUGAGACACGGUCCAGACUCCUACGGGAGGCAGCAGUAGGGAAUCUUCCGCAAUGGGCGAAAGCCUGACGGAGCAACGCCGCGUGAGUGAUGAAGGUCUUCGGAUCGUAAAACUCUGUUAUUAGGGAAGAACAUAUGUGUAAGUAACUGUGCACAUCUUGACGGUACCUAAUCAGAAAGCCACGGCUAACUACGUGCCAGCAGCCGCGGUAAUACGUAGGUGGCAAGCGUUAUCCGGAAUUAUUGGGCGUAAAGCGCGCGUAGGCGGUUUUUUAAGUCUGAUGUGAAAGCCCACGGCUCAACCGUGGAGGGUCAUUGGAAACUGGAAAACUUGAGUGCAGAAGAGGAAAGUGGAAUUCCAUGUGUAGCGGUGAAAUGCGCAGAGAUAUGGAGGAACACCAGUGGCGAAGGCGACUUUCUGGUCUGUAACUGACGCUGAUGUGCGAAAGCGUGGGGAUCAAACAGGAUUAGAUACCCUGGUAGUCCACGCCGUAAACGAUGAGUGCUAAGUGUUAGGGGGUUUCCGCCCCUUAGUGCUGCAGCUAACGCAUUAAGCACUCCGCCUGGGGAGUACGACCGCAAGGGUG
This 887-nucleotide ribosomal RNA is filed under the name uncultured Staphylococcus sp. Its description in RNAcentral is "bacterial SSU rRNA". It matches the Rfam family "Bacterial small subunit ribosomal RNA", at positions 28 to 896 of the family's 1533-position model. The record is from RNAcentral. Lineage: Bacteria; Bacillati; Bacillota; Bacilli; Caryophanales; Staphylococcaceae.